UGGAAAGAAGGAGGCAAAGUAGAAAAAGACAGAAAAUGAAAGAUGGGUGGAGGAAAGGAAGGGUGAGGUUGAGAGAAGGAGGAGAAAGCAACAGAGAAGAAAUAAAAAGAAAACACAGCAGAGAUUAUAUUCUCUUGGCAUGGAUACUAUUGGUUAUUCAGAUAUUCACAUCCUUUUUGGAUAAACCCUGAUCCAAGUUUUAUUUGUGCGUGCAUCAAGCGAUUCUGUGUGUGAGUAAAAAGUAUUUCUCCAGAGAGGGGAGGAAUGUGGCCAAAUUCUGGGAACACUCCUCUUCAAAAUCACACUCCCAGGGUGAAGAGUUGUGAUGGCACCCCAAGGGCCGACCCGGAUGAGCUAGCGCCUAAAGCACAGCAGACAGGACCAGCUCUCCCAAUGGAGUGCAGAGCUGUGGAAUACAGUGUUUGUUCCAAGGACACUUGAAACCAAGCCGAGGACAGACUCCCGGCCUUCGUGAGCGCCUACCUGCAGGAGUUGGAGUUGAACUUUCUGCCCUGCCGCA
Long non-coding RNA from Micropterus salmoides (largemouth bass), 520 nucleotides. RefSeq lists it as uncharacterized. NCBI's taxonomy places the organism in Eukaryota, Metazoa, Chordata, Actinopteri, Centrarchiformes, Centrarchidae. The record is from RefSeq and is a predicted model, not a curated record. The transcript is spliced from 3 exons.